CGAUUUAACUUUCAGUACUAUUUUUGGCCAUAAGAAAAGGGGACACCACCUUUGUAGUGGUUAAUGUUAGAGAUAGCUAAUGACUACAAGCAUGAGGUGUUAAAUGUUACGUAUACAUGAAGUGGUUAUUAGUUAGUCGAAACUUAAGUCAAGAUUGAAAUUGAAUGUGGUCGAUUAUUUUGUUAGGACUUCAAUUGACCAAAUGAUUAAAUUAAGUUAUGAUCCACAAUUUUUGAAUUUGUAAGUUGGAAAUAAGUUAAGAUUUGGGAUACAUUUGCUAAUAAUGAAAGAUAGAGGGUUGGAUUAUAUUAAUUGGAAGAUUAGAGAUUUCCUUUGCAAAUAUAGGUUUUUAGGCUACUAAUUACCUAUAAUUAGCCCCACUUGUUAUCCAUCACCACCAUACAUUUGGAUCAUAGAUUAAACAAGUGUACAAGUAUAAAAAAUAAAAAAAAAUAAAAAAAAGAAGAGAGGGGGGUCAAAGUCGGCCAAACCAAGUAAUAAAAAAAUAAAAAAAUCAAGUUUUAUCCUUAUCUUUAUAUGAGUAUAAAUACAUCCAUAUCCAUUGCCAUAGAGAGAUCUCUUUCAUUUUACAAAACAUUUAUACACUUAAAAAGAGAGCAAAAAACCAAAAUCAAGAAAGGAAAGGAGAAGGAAGAAAGUUUAGCACUUUCAAUUCAUUUCAAUCGAAGAUCUUCAAGUUUUACGGUAAGAUACUUCCAUGCUUAAGAGUUAUGAUUUUCAUGGUAAUAUUUAUGCUUAAGUUGUGCAUGAAAAACCACAAUAUGAUUAUGGUGGACAAGUCCACAAAGUUAGAUAUCUAUUUAUGCCUUAGGACAAGUCCGAAGGGCACCGGCAUGUCGGAAUAUGGAAGUAUGGGUUUGAUUGCUUUCUUUGGUGUAGUAUUAUCAUGAUAAAUGUUCAAGCAUGGUAUCUUACUGAGUAUUUCCUUAUACUCAAAGUAUGUUAUGCUAAACUUUUCAGAUCCAUGAUCAUUUGAAUUGAUGGAAGUUAGUUGGCUUACGCGAUGAUGGAUUAAGGACAACGAAGUUUUGUACCGAAAGUUUUCUUUUGUGUGUUUUGUUCGAUGGCAGGUUUUACAUCUAUUUUUCUUAUGGUAUUAUGUAAAAAUAUGAACAUGGAAUGAUGUAUUAUGGUAUUAAUAGUAAAUUUUGUAAUUAUAUCUUUCAUGUUAUGUUAAGAGACGUUUUUAUAGUUUAUUUUCCUUGCAAGUGAUAAAAGGCAGAAACGGGACAGUUUCUGGAGUCAAUUUCAAAAUGAUGUUUCUAACUCUAUAAACGUCCAUUUGAAAUUCUAAAAAUAUUUCUGUUUUCCCCUUUGAGUUUUCUAAGUAUGGCCGCAAUAAAUACUCAAUUUGGAUAUCUGUGGCCUGAGUUAUUAAGGUUUUGACGUCCAAAGGUCAAUCUGGAUUCCCUGUGUAAUACUUCACUGUUUUCAGUAAAACGUCUAUAUCAUAUGAUCUUGGAAAACUUUCAUACUUUAACCUAGAAAACUAUCUGAAAUUAUCUUUCUAAUGCCACAAAUUUCAUAUGAAACGGAGUUGGGAUGAAUUUUAUAAAAUCUGCCGAAGGUUGCUGCCUCAACUAAACUUGACAGUGCCGAGGCCGUAUUUACAAUGUUUAAAUUUCAUGUUGGCAUGCACUUUUAUCGGCCAUAAAGUUUUAUAAAAAUAAGUUUUUAACAUGUAGUAUUCCUAUUUAAGAAUAUUUACAUGUACCAAAGGCAAAAGUUUUUAUGUAAAGUACGUGGCCCUCGAAGCUUAAGUUCGGGGCGUCACAGCUUGGAUUUUUAGUUUUCGAAAAAAUCGGCAUAACUUUCGCAUACGGUGUUUGUUUUGGGGCUGUAACCACAUUUCGAAAAGCUCGAGAUGAUUCGGAAUGAGUUUCUUGUGGAAGAAUAGGCAUUUGUGUACACGGAACAAUUGGAUUGUCAAUGUUUGAAAAACUUGGCAUAACUUUCACAUACGAUGUUCAUUUUUUCCCAUAACAACAAUUCGAAAAGCUUACGAUGAUUCGGAACAAGUUUCGCGUGGAAGAAUUGGCACUUGUAUACACGGAACGCUUGGAUUGUUAAUUUUUGAAAAAAUUGGUAUAACUUUCACAUACGGUGUCUGUUUUGGGCCCAUAACCACAUUUCGAAAAGCUCGCGAUGAUUCAGAACGAGGUUCACGUGGAAGAAUAAGCACUUGCAUACUCGAAACGAUUAAAGCGUCACUGUUCGAAAAAAUCGUCAUAACUUUCGUAUACGGUGUUUUUUUUCCCAUAACCACAUUUUGGAAUGUUUACGAUGAUUUGGAAUGAGGAUCGCGUGGAAGAAUCGACACUUGCAUUCAUGGAAUGCUUGGAUUGUUAGUUUUAAAAAAAAAUGGUAUAACUUUCGUAUACGGUGUCUGUUUUGGGCCCAUAACCACAUUUCGGAAAGCUCGUGAAGAUUCGGAAUGAGGUUCGCAUGGAAAAAUAGGCACUUGUGUACAUGGACUGCUUGGAUUGUCAGUUUUCAAAAAAUUGCAUAACUUUCGCAUACAGUGUACGUUUUAGGCUCAUAACCACAUUUCAGAAAGCUUGCGAUGAUUUGAAAUGAGGUUUGCCUAGAAGAAUCGGUACUUCCAUAUGCGGAAUGCUCAGGUUGUCAAUUUUUGAAAAAUUAGAAUAACUUUCGCAUACGGUGUCCAUUUUGGGCCCAUAUCAACAUUUCGGAAAGCUUGUGACGAUUUAGAAUGAGGUUCACAUGGAAGAACUGGUACUUACGUACACGGAAUGCUUGGAUUGUCAGUUUUCAAAAAAAUUGGCAUAACUUUUGCAUACGAUGUCCCUUUUUUUCCCAUAAUCAAAUUUCAGGAAGCUUACGACGAUUGGGCACAAGGUCCGCAUGGAAGAAUCGGCAAUUGCGUACAUGGAACGCUUGGAUUGUUAGUUUACAAAAAAAUUGGCAUAACAUUCGUAUAUAGUGUUCGUUUUUGGCCCAUAACUAGAUUUUGAAAAGCUCACGACGAUUCGGAACGAGGUUCGCUUGGAAGAAUAGGCACUUGAGUACACAGAAUGCUUAGAUUGUCAGUUUUAGAAAAAAUUGCCAUAACUUUCGCAUACGGUGUCCGUUUUAGGCCAAUAACCACAUUUCGAAAAGCUUGGGACGAUUCGAAAUGAGGGUUGUGAGGAAAACUCAGAACCUGUAUACCCAGAGUGCUUGGAUAGUCAGUUUUCAAAAAAAUUAGCAUAACUUUCGCAUACGGUGUCCAUUUUAGGCCCAUAACAACAUUUCGGAAAGCUCGUGACGAUUCGAAACGAGGUUCGCGUGGAAGAACCGGCAUUACAUACACAGAACGCUUGGAUUGUUAGUUUUCGAAAAUAUUGGUAUAACUUUCGCAUACGAUGUCCUUUUUUCCCAUAACCACAUUUCGGAAAGCUUAUGACGAUUCGGAACGAUGUUCAUGUGGAAGAACGGGCACUUAAACGGAACACUUGAAUUGUCAAUUUUUGAAAAAAUUGGCAUAACUUUGGCAUACGGUGUUUGUUUUGGGCCCAUAACUAAAUUUUGAAAUGCUUGCGACGAUUCAAAUUGAAGUUUGCAUGAAAUAACAGGCACUCAAUUAAACGGAAUGCUUGGAUUGUCUAUUUUUGAAAAAACUGGCAUAACUUUUGCAUACGGUGUUCAUUUUGGGCCCAUAACAACAUUUCAAAAAGCUUGUGAAGAUUCGGAACGAGAUUCGUGUGGAAGAAUAGGCACUUGCGCACAUGGAACGCUUAGAUUGUCAAUUUUCAAAAAAAAUUGGUGUAACUUUCACAUACGGUGUCCGUUUUGGGCCCAUAACCACAUUUCGAAUAGCUCUUGACAAUUCGGAAUCGGCACUUGAAAACACAGAAUGCUUGGAUUGUCAGUUUUUGAAAAAAAUUGCAUAACUUUCGCAUACGGUGUUCGUUUUGGGCCCAUAACGUGACUUCAGAAAGCUCGUGAUGAUACCGAAUCUGGUUCGCAUGGAAGAACCAGUACUUGAGUACAUAGAAUGCUUGGAUUGUCAAUUUUCAAAAAAAUUGGCAUAACUUUUGCAUACAGUGUCCAUUUUGGGCCCAUAACCACAUUUUGGAAAGCUCGAGAUGAUUUGGAAUGAGGUUUGCAUGGAAGUAUAGGCAGUUGUGUACACGAAACAAUUGGAUUGUCAGCAUUCAAAAAAAUUGGUAUAACUUUUGCGUACGGUGUUCAUUUUUUUCCAUAGCCACAUUUCGAAAAGCUUGAGAUGAUUCAGAAUGAGGGUCGCGUGGAAGAAUCGACACUUGCGUACACGGAACGCUUGGACUGUUAGUUUUCGAAAAAAUUGGCAUAACUUUCGCUUCCGGUGUCUGUUUUGGGCCCAUAACCACAUUUCGGAAAGUUCACGAAGAUUCGGAACGAGGUUUGCAUGGAAAAAUAGGCACUUGUGUACACGAAAUGCUUUGAUUACAGGUUUUGGUGUCCGUAUUAGGCCCAUAACCACAUUUCUGAAAGCUUGCGACAAUUCUGAAAGAGGUUUACGUGGAAGAACCGGUACUUCCAUACACGAAAAGUCUGGAUUGUUAGUUUUUGAAAAAAUUGGCAUAACUUUCACUUAUGGUGUACGUUUUGGGCCGAUAUCAACAUUUCGGAAAGCUUGCGACAAUUCUGAACGAGGUUUGCGUGGAAGAACUGGUACUUACAUACAUGGAACGCUUGGAUUGUCAGUUUUCGAAAAAAUUGGCAUAACUUUUGCAUACGGUGUCUGUUUUGGGCCUAUAACCAUAUUUCAAAAAGCUCGCGACGAUUCUAAAUGAGUUUUACGUGGAAGAAUUGUCACUUAAACAAAAUGCUUGGAUUAUUAGUUUUAAAAAAAAUUGGCAUAACUUUCGCAUACGGUGUCCAUUUUUGGCCCAUAGCCAUAUUUUGAAAAGCUCAAGAUGAUUCGAAACGAGGUUCGCAUGGAAGAACUGCCACUUGUGUACACAGAACGCUUCGAUGGUAAUUGUUUGAAAAAAUUAGCAUAACUUUCAUAUACAGUGUCUAUUUUGGGCACAUAACCACAUUUGGAAAAGCUCGCGACGAUUCAGAAUGGGGUUCGCGUGGAAGAAUCGGCAUUGGCAAACAUGGAACACUUGGAUUGUCAGUUAUUGGAAAAUUUGGCAUAACUUUCGGAUACAGGGUCCAUUUUGGGCCCGUAACCACACUUCGAAAAGCUCGCGAUGAUACGGAAUGAGGUUCGCGUGGAAAAAUCGGCACUUGCAUACAAGGAAUGCUCGGAUUGUCAGUUUUCGAAAAAAUCAGAACUUUCGUAUACGGUGUCCGUUUUGGGCCCAUAACCACAUUUCAGAAAGUUCGCGAUGAUUCGAAACAAGGUUUACAUGAAAGAAUAGGCACUUCUAUACACAGAACGAUUGAAUUGUCAUUGUUCAAAAAAAUUUGCAUAAUUUCACAUGCGAUGUACGUUUUCGAAAAGCUUGCGCCAAUUCGGAACGAGGUUCACAAGGAAGAAUCGGCACUUAAACGUAAUGCUUGGAUUGUCAAUUUUCAAAAAAAUUGGCAUAACUUUCGCAUACAGUGUCCGUUUUGGGCCCAUAACCACAUUUUGGAUAGCUCACUACGAUUCAGAUCGAAGUUCACAUGGAAGAACCGACACUUACUUAAACAGAACACUUAGACUGUUAAUUUUCGAAAAAAUUGGUAUAACUUUCGUAUACGGUGUCCGCUUGUGGCCCAUAACCACAUUUCAGAAAGCUUGUGAAGAUUCUGAAUGAGGUUCGCAUGGAAAAAAAGGCACUUGCGUACAAGGAAUGCUUGGAUUAUCAGUUUUCGAGAAAAUUGAAUAACUUUCGCAUACGGUGUCCGUUUUAGGUCCAUAACCACAUUUUGAAAAGCUUGCGAUGAUUCGGAAUGAGGUUUGCCUAGAAGAAUCGGUACUUGCAUACGCAAAAUGCUUGGAUUUUCAAUUUUUUUAAAAAUUGGCAUAACUUUCGCAUACGGUGUCCGUUUUGGGCCCAUAUCAACAUUUCAAAAAGCUUACAAUGAUUCGGAACGAGGUUCAAGUGGAAGAAUCGGCAUUUAUAUACACAGAACGCUUAGAUUGUCGAUUUUCUAAAAAAUUGGCAUAACUUUCGCAUACAGUGUCCUUUUUGAGCCCAUAACCACAUUUCAAAAAGCUCGCGACGAUUCGGAGCGAGACUUAUGUGGAAGAGCCAUCACUUACUUAAACAGAAACCUUGGAUUAUCAGUUUUCAAAAAAAUUGGCAUAAUUUUUGCAUACGGUGUCCAUUUUGGGCCCAUAACCACAUUUCAAAAAGCUCACGACGAUUCAAAAUGAGGUUAGCAUGGAAGAACCGGCACUUGCGUACACAAAACGCUUGGAAUGUAAGUGUUUGAAAAAAUUGGCAUAACUUUCGCAUACAGCGUCUGUUUUAGGCCCAUAACCACAUUUCAAAAAGUUCGCGAUGAUUUAGAAUGGGGUUUGCAUGGAAGAAUCGGCCCUUGCAAACACAGAACGCUUGAAUUGUCAGUUUUCAAAAAAUUGGCAUAACUUUUGGAUACAGUGUCCAUUUUGGGCCCGUAACCACACUUCGAAAAUCUCGCGAUGAUACGAAAUGUGGUUUUCGUGGAAGAAUCAGCAAUUGCGUACAUGGAAUGCUUAGAUUGUCAGUUUUCGAAAAAAAUAGCAUAACUUUCGCAUACGACGUCCGUUUUGGGCCCAUAACCACAUUCUAGAAAGCUUGCGAUGAUUCGGAACGAGGUUCGCUUGGAAAAAUAGGUACUUGUCUACACAAAACAAUUAGAUUGUCAAUGUUCGCAAGAAUUGGCAUAACUUUUGCAUACAGUGUUCAUUUUUCCCAUAACCACGUUUCAGAAAGCUUGCGACGAUUCGAAACGUGGUCACGUGGAAGAAUCGACAAUUGUGUUCACGGAAUGCUUGGACUGUUAGUUUUCGAAAAAAUAUGUGUAACUUUUGUAUACGGUGUCUAUUUUGGGCCCAUAACCAGAUUUGGGAAAGCUCACGAAGAUUCAGAAUGAGGUUCACGUUGAAGAAAGGCACUUACGUACACGAAAUGCUUGGAUUUUCAGAUUUCGAAAAAAUUGGUCUAGCUUUUGCAAACAGUGUCCGUUUUGUACCCAUAACUACAUUUCGAAAAGCUCGCGAUGAUUCGGAGCGAGGUUCUCAUGGAAGAAUCGGCACUUGCGGUCACGGAAUGCUUGGAUUGUCAGUUUUCGAAAAAAUUGGCAUAACUUUUGCAUAGGUGUUCAUUUUGGACCCAUACCAAAUUUCAAAAAGCUCGCUAAGAUUCAGAACGAGGUUCACGUGGAAGAACAGGCACUUGUGUACACGAAACAAUUGGAUUGUCAGUGUUCAAAAAAAUUGGAAUAACUUUCUCAUACAGUGUUCAUUUUUUCCCAUAACCACAUUUCAGAAAGCUUGCGAUGAUUCAGAACGAGGUUCGCCUGGAAGAAUCGACACUUGCAUACACGGAAUGCUUGGAUUGUUAGUUUUUGAAAAAAUUGGCGUAACUUUCCCAUACAAAGUCCGUUUUGGGCCCAUAACCACAUUUCGAAAAGCUCGAGAAGAUUCGGAGCGAAGUUCGCAUGCAAAAAUAGGCACUUGCGUGCACGAAAUGCUUGGAUUGUUAGUUUUUGAAAAAAUUACAUAACUUUCGUAUACGGUGUUUGUUUUAGGCUCGUAACCACAUUUUCGAAAGCUUGCAAAGAUUCAGAAUGAGGUUUGCUGAGAAGAAUCGGUACUUGUAUACACGGAAUGCUUGGAUUUUCAAUUUUUAAAAAAAAUUGGCAUAACUUUCACAUACAGUGUUCGUUUUGGGCCCAUAUCAACAUUUCGGAAAGCUUGCGAUGACUCAAAAUGAGGAUAACAUGGAAGAACCGGCACUUUCAUACACGGAAUGCUUGGAUUGUUAGUUUUCAAAAAAAUUGGCGUAACUUUCGCAUACGGUGUUCAUUUUUUUUCCAAUAACACAUUUCAGAAAGCUUGCGACGAUUUGGAAAGAGGUUUACAUGGGAGAACCGGCACUUGCAUACACGAAAUGCUUGGAUUGUCAAUUUUCGAAAAUAUUGGCAUAACUUUCACAUAGUGUCCGUUUUGGGCUCAUAACCACAUUUCGAAAAGCUUGCGACGAUUCGAAAUGAAGUUUAUGUGAAAGAACCGUCACUUACUUAAACAGAAUGCUUGGAUUAUCAGUUUUCAAAAAAAAUGGCAUAACUUUCGCAAACGGUGUCCAUUUUGGGCCCAUAAUCACAUUUCAAAAAGCUCACGAUGAUUCAAAACUUGGUUUGCAUGGAAGAAUCGGCACUUGCAUACACGGAAUGCUUGGAUUGUAAGUGUUUGAAAAAACUUGGCACAACUUUCGCAUACAGUGUUGGUUUUGGGCAUGUAACCACAUUUUGAAAAGCUCACGAUGAUUUGGAACGGGGUUCACGUGGAAGAAUCGGCACUUGUAAACACAUAAUGCUUAUAUUGUCAGUUUUUGAAAAAAUUGGCAUAAUUUUCGCAUACGGUGUCCGUUUUGGGCCCAUAACCACACUUUGGAAAGUUCACGAUGAUACGAAAUGAGAUUCACGUGGAAGAAUAGGCAUUGUGUACAAGAAACGAUUGGAUUGUCAGUGUUUGAAACAAUUGGCAUAACUUUCGCAUACGGUGUUCGUUUUUUCCCAUUACCAUAUUUUGGAAAGAUUGCGACGAUUCGAAAUGAGGUUCGAGUGGAAGAAUCAGCACUUGCAUGCAUAGAAUGCUUGGAUUGUUAGUUUUUAAAAAAAUUGGCAUAACUUUUGCAUACGGUGUCCGUUUUGGGCCCAUAACCAGAUUUCUAAAAGUCCACAAUAAUUCGGAACGAGGUCCGGGUUGAAGAAUAGGCACAUGCGUACACGGAAUGCUUGGAUUGUCAGCUUUCAAAAAAAUUUGUCUAGCUUUCACAACCGGUGUCCGUUUCGUGCCCACAACCACAUUUCGAAAAGCUCAUGACGAUUCAAAAUGAGGUUCGUGUAGAAGAAUCGGCACUUAUGUUCACGGAAUGUUUAGAUUGUUUUUUUCGAUAAAAUUGGCAUAACUUUUGCAUACGGUGUCCGUCUUGGGCCCAUAACCACAUUUCGAAAAGCUUGCGAAGAUUCGGAAGGAGGUUACGUGGAAGAAUAGGCCCUAGCGUACAUGGAAUGCUUAGAUUGUUAGUGUUUGAAAAAAUUGGCAUAACUUUCGCACACGGUGUCCAUUUUGGACCCAUAACCACAUUUCGGAAAGCUCGCGAUGAUUCGAAAUGAAGUUCAUGUGGAAGAAUCGGUGCUUAUAUACAGGGAAUGCUUGGAUUGUUAGUGUUUGAAAAAAUUGACAUAACUUUUGCAUACGGUGUCCGUUUUAGGCUAUAACCACAUUUUGGAAAGCUCAUGAUGAUUCGAAAUGGGUUUCGCGUAGAAGAACAGGCACUUGUGUACACUGAGCGAUUGAUCGUCAGUGUUUGAAAAAAUUGGCAUAACUUUCGCAUACGGUAUCCGUUUUGGUCCUAUAAGCACAUUUUGAAAAGCUCGUGACAUUUCGAAAUGAGAUUUUCAUGGAAGAAUAGGCACUUGUAAAUAAGGAAUGCUUGCAUUGUCAAUUUUCAUAAAAAUUGGCAUAACUUUCACAUAUGGUGUCCAUUUUGGGCCCAUAACCACAUUUCGGAAAGCUCGUGAGGAUUCAGAAUGAGGUUCGUGUGGAAGAAUUGGCACUUACAUACAAGAAACGAUUGGAUUCUCAAUGUUUGAAAAAAUUGGCAUUACUCUGGCAUACGGUGUUCGUUUUGGGCCCAUAACAACAUUUCGAAAAACUCACGACGAUUCGGAAGAAAUUCGCAAGGAAGAACAGGCACUUGCAUACACGAAACACUUGGGUUGUCAAUUUUCAAAAAAAUUGGUAUAGCAUUCGCAUACGAUGUCUGUUUUUGGCCCUUAACCAUAUUUCGGAAAGCUCGUGAUGAUUCAAAAAGAGGUUCGUGUGGUAGAAUAGGAACUUGCAUACACGGAAUGCUUGGAUUGUCAGUUUUCAAAAAAAUUGACAUAACUUUUGCAUACGUUGUUCGUUUUGGGCCCAUAAGAACAUUUCGAAAAGCUCAUGAUGAUUUGGAACGAGGUUUGCAUGGAAGAAUAGGCACUUACAUAUAAGGAACACUUGCAUUGUCAGUUUUCAUAAAAAUUGACAUAACUUUCACAUACGGUGUCCAUUUUGGGCGCAUAACCACAUUUCGGAAAAGCUUACGAGGAGUCGGUGGAAGAAUCGGUACUUGCGUACACGAAAUGAUUGGAUUGUCAAUGUUUGAAAAAAAUUGGCAUUACUUUGGUAUGCAGUGUCCAUUUUGGGCCGAUAACCACAUUUCGAAAAGCUCGCAAAGACUCGAAACGAAAUUUACGUGGAAAAAUAGGAAUUGCAUACAUGGAACACUUGGGAAAUUGGCAUAGCAUUCGCAAACGGUGUCCGUUUUGGACCUAUAACCAUAUUUUGGAAAGCUCGCGACUAUUCAAAAAGAGUUUCAUGUGUUAGAGUAGGCAUUUGUGUACACAGAACGCUUGAAUCGUCAGUUUUCAAAAAAAUUGGCAUAACUUUCACGUAUGGUGUCCAUUUUUAGCCCAUAACCACAUUUUAGAAAGUUUACGAUGAUUCGAAAUGAGGUUCAUAUAGAAGAAUUGAGAUUUCGUACAUGAAACGAUUGGAUUGUUAGUGUUUGAAAAAAUUGGCAAAACUUUCGCAUACGAUGUCCGUUUUGGGCCCAUAAGCACAUUUCAAAAAGCUCGCGAUUAUUCGGAACAAGGUUCGCAUGGAAGAACACGCACUUGCAUAUAAGGAAGGCUUACAUACGUUGUCCAUUUUGGGCCCAAAACCAUAUUUCGGAAAGCUCGCAACAAUUCAAAAUGAGGUAUAUGUGGAAGAACCGUCACUUACGUAAACGAAACACUAAGAUUGUCAGUUUUCAAAAAAAUUGGCAUAACUUUCGCAUACAUUGUCCCUUUUGGGCCCAUAACCACAUUUUGGAAAGCUCGUGACGGUUCGAAAUGAGGUCCAUGUGGAAGAACAAGCACUUGCGUACACAGAAUGUUUGAAUUGUGAGUUUUUUCGAAAAAAUUGGCAUAACUUUCACAUACGGUGUCCAUUUUGGGCCCUUUAACACAUUUCAAAAAGCUCACGAUGAUUUUAAAUGGGAGCGAUGUGGAAGAGCCGACACUUGCAUACACGGACCACUUGGAUUGUCAGUUUUUGAAAAAAUUGGCAUAACUUUCGCAUACGUUGUCCCUUUUGGGCCCAUAACCACAUUUCGGAAAGCUCGUGAUGGUUUGGAAUGAGGUCCAUGUGGAAGAACAAGCACUUGCGUACACAGAAUGUUUGAAUUGUCAGUUUUCGAAAAAAUUGGCAUAACUUUCACAUAUGGUGUCCAUUUUGGGCCCUUUAACAGAUUUCAAAAAGCUCACGAUGAUUUGAAAUGGGGUCGAUGUGGAAGAACCGACACUUGCAUACCCGGACCACUUGGAUUGUCAGUUUUUUUAAAAAUUGGAAUAACUUUCACGCACGGUGUCCGUUUUGGGCCCAUAAACACAUUUGGAAAAGAUCGCGACGAUUCGGAAUGAGGUUCGCUUGGAAGUAAAGGCAAUUAUGUAGAUGAAAUGAUUGGAUUGUCAAUGUUUGAAAAAUUUGGCAUAACUUUUACAUACGGUGUCUGAUUUGGGCCCAUAACCAAAUUUGGGAAAGCUCCCGACGAUUCAAAAAGAGGUUCGUGUGGAAGAAUAGGCACUUGCGUACAUGGAACGCUUGCAUUGUCAGUUUUCAAAAAAAUAUCCAUAACUUUUACGUACGUCCGUAUUGGGCUCAUAACCACAUUUCGAAAGCUGGCAACGAUUCGUAACGAGGUUUAUGUGGAAGAAUAGGCGCUUGCGUACAUGGAACGCUUGGAUUGUCAAUUAUCGAAAAAAUUGGCAUAACUUUUGCAUACGGUGUCCAUUUUGGGCCCAUGACCACAUUUCAGAAAGCUCGCGACGAUUCGAAACGAAGUUCGAAUGGAAGAACUAGAACUUCGUACACGAAACACUUAGAUUGUCAAUUUUCAAAAAAAUUGGCAUAACGUCCGUAUACUGUGUCCGUUUUGGGCCCACAGCCACGUUUCGAAAAGCUUGCAACGAUUAAGAAUGAGAUUCACGUGGAAGGAUAGGCAAUUACGUACACAAAAUGCAUGGAUUGUCCAUUUUCGAAAAAAUUGGCAUAACUUUUGCAUACGUUGUUCAUUUUGGGCCAAUAAUCACAUUUCGAAAAGUUCGCAAUGAUUCUGAACGAGGUUCGUGUGGAAGAAUCAACACUAGCAUACACAAAAUGCUUGGGUUGUUAGUUUUUAAAAAAAUUGGAAUAACUUUCGCAUACGGUGUUCAUUUUGGGCCCAUAACCACAUUUCAAAAAGUUCAUGAAUUAUCGGCAGUGCACAAUGUGUUCCAUUUAUUGAUGAUAAAGAAGUAUGUACAUGAUCAUAAUCAUGUAGUGAGUUAUCAAACAUUGGAGGUGCAAAAAGAUUUGUUGUACGAGGAACUACCGAUCAAGAUAUUGGAUCGAAAAGUGCAUAAACUAAGGAAUAAAGAGAUUCAGCUGGUUAAGAUGCAGUGGAAUCAUCACAGCGUAGAAGAAGCCACUUGGGAAAAAGAAGAAGAAGCCAAAGACAUGUAUCCAACACUAUUUGCCCAAUCAGAAGGUAAAUUUCGAGGAUGAAAUUUUAAUUAAGGUGUGGGGGAUGUAGAACCCCAAAUAAUUCUAGACACCUUAGUGACACUAAGACAUGAAUAUUGGAUGACUAAAGUAUGAUUCAGAUUUAUAGUCUCAUUUGAGACCCAUUUUCGAUAUAGGAAACAUUCGAUUUGGAAAAUAAUAUCUUAAUAAAAGUUGUAUCUCUUCGAGUUAGCUUUCCAACGCACUUUGAAUUACCUCAAUCGGAUAUUGGGAGAAGAAGUUAUGAUAGAAACAUUGAAGGCUGUGCAGUGUCAACCGGACUACAAUCGGUCGACCGAAACUGUCUGAAAUGAAAAUUCUCGUUUUUUCUCUAGAAUUUAAAUAUUUAUUUCAUCAAUUAUUUUCUCAAAGGGCCACCCACGUUUUUGGUAAUAAAAACUCCACUAAAUUGAAGCAUUUAACCUCAAACUGAAAUGGCACUCAUGUUUUCUCUCUUAAAUGAAAUUUGACCCUUCAUUUGCUUUAAGUUAUGGGAUAUUUACCUAUAAAUAGAGACCUCAUUUCACUCAUUUUUCUCACGCCAAAAGCAAGAGCUUUUACAUACUAAAGAAAGAGUUUCCAAGAGAGAAAAAGAGAGGGAGGAAAACUAUUUUUCCUAGAAGUUUAAGAAGUGUUUUCAAGCAUCAAUUCUCAACAGUUUUCAAACAUCCAAGGAGUGCAUUUCUUUCAACGUCCAAGUUUCAUCGAAGUUUUCAAUCCAAGUUUUCAAAGUUUCAAAAGCAUCAAUCAAGGAAAGUAGAGGUGCAAUGUGUUUAAUCGUGUUAAGUUAUAAGUUUUGAUUCAUGUUAAUGUUUGUAUGUCAAAUGGUACUCCGGUACGGCAUAUCCCUCUAUGUUAAUGGUUGUAUGUCAAAUGGUACUCCAGUACGGCAUACCCCUCUAUGUUGAAGAAAUGUUCGUAUGUCAAAUGGUGCCCUCAGGUACAGCAUACCCCUUCAUGUCAAAUGGUGCCUCCGGGUACGGCAUGUAUGAGAAGUUAUAAAGUUAAUGUUUUGAAAUGUAUAGCUUGAUCACGAAUGGACCUAUGACACCUAUUGAGUUUUUUCAACUCACGGGUUUAAUCCCAUCUCUACAAAUUGAAGGAAUUCUACCUCGGGCGUGGAUGGAGAGGAAGAUGGAGAGUGAUGCAAUGAGCCCAUGAAAAUCCGGUGAAUAAGUGAUUUGGAUUUAUUUUUAUGAAAUGUUUUCCAAUGUUAUUUCUUAAAAGUUUUGAAUAACGCAGAAUGCGAGAACAAGUUAUGUUUUCUUCAAAUAAAUUACAUUUUGUUGUUUUGAAAAAUGAUUCAGUGUUUUUGUUUAAAGUAUUUGAAGUAUUGUUAUUUAAAUUAUUAUCCGAAGAUGUAAGCUUUCGCUAAAACGUAUACACUUGUUACUAAACCACCGGUUAAGCUAAGUAAAGUAAGUAGCGUUCCGGUCCACUAGGGGUCGAGGCGUUACACGGAAUGCUUGGAUUGUCAGUUUUUAAAAAAAUGGCAUAGCUUUCGCAUAUGAUGUCUAUUUUGGGCCUACAACCUUAUUUCGAAAAGCUUGCGAUGAUUUGGAAAGAGUUUUCCAUGGAAGAACAAGCACUUGCAUACAAGGAACGCUUGGAUUGUCAGUUUUCGAAAAAAUUGGCAUAACUUCUGCAUACGGUGUCUAUUUUGGGCCCAUAACAACAUUUAGGAAAGCUUGCGACAAUUCGAAAUGAGAUUCACAUGGAAGAACAGGCACUAGCGUACACGGAAUGCUUGUAUUGUCAAUUUUCGAAAAAAUAGGCAUAACUUUCGCAAAUUUCAGAAAGCUCGCAACGAUUAAGAACAAGGUUUGGGUGAAAGAGCCGGUACUUGAGUACGGGGAAAGCUUGGAUUGUAAGUUUCUGAAAAAUUUCCAUAAUUGUUGCAUACGGUGUCCAUUUUGGGCUGAUAACUACAUUUAAGAAAGCUCAGAAGAUUCAAAACGAGAUUCGUGCGGAAGAAUCGACACUUGCGUACAUGGAAUGCUUGGAUUGUCAGUUUUCAAAAAAAUUGGCAUAACUUUCGCAUAUGGUGUCCAUUUUGGUCCCAUUACCACAUUUCAGAAAGCUCGCAAUGAUUUGGAACGAGGUUCGUGGGGAAGAACUGGAACUUGUGUAUACAGAAUGAUUGGAUUGUCGGUGUUUGAAAAAUUUGGCAUAACUUUCGCAUACGGUGUCCGUUUUGGGCCCAUAACCUCAUUUCGGAAAGUUCUCGAUGAUUAGGGAUGAGGUUUGCAUGGAAAAAUAAGCACUUGCAUACACGGAACAAUUGGAUUGUCGGUGUUUGAAAAAAUUAGCAUAACUUUCACAUACGGUGUCCGUCUUAGGCCCAUAACCACAUUUUGGAAAGCUCGCGAAGAUUCGGAAUGAGGUUCGUGUGGAAGAACAGGCACUUGUGUACACGAAUUGGUUGGAUUGUCAAUUUUUGAAAAAAUUGCUUUAACUUUCGCAUACGGUGUCUAUUUUGGGCCUAUAACCUCAUUUCAGAAAGCUCACGAUGAUUUGGAAUGAGGUUUGCGUGGAAGAACAUGCACUUGUGUACACAGAUUUAUUAGAUUGUCAGUGUUUGAAAAAAUUGGCAUAACUUUCGCAUACGGUGUUCGUUUUGUUCCCAUAACCACAUUUACAAAAGCUCGUGGCGAUUCGAAACGAGUUUAGCGUGGAAGAACAGGCACUUGCGUGCAUGGAACGACUGGAUUGUCAUUGUUGAAAAAAUUGGCAUAACUUCCACAUGCGCAUCCGUUUUGUGCCCAUAACCAUAUUUCGAAAGGUUUGCAAUUCAGAAUGAGGUUCUCUUCGAAGAACCGGCACGUGCGGACAUGGAACGAUUAAAUUGUCAGUUUUCGAAAAAAUUGGUAUAAGUUUUGCAUACGGUGUUCAUUUUGGUCCCAUAACCACAUUUCAGAAAGCUCACGACGAUUAAGAAUGGGGUUCGCAUGGAAGAACCUGUACUUGAGUAUGAGUACGUGGAACCCUUGAAUUGUCAGUUUUCAAAAAAUUGGCAUAACUUUCGCAUACGGUGUCUGUUUUGGUCCUAUAACCACAUUUUGGAAAGCUCGCAACGAUUCGAAAUGAGGUUUACAUGGAAAAACUAACAAUUGCAUACACGAACGCUUGGAUUGUUAGUGUUUGAAAAAAUUGGCAUAACUUUGGCAUACGGUGUCCGUUUUGGGCAUAUAACCACAUUUUGGAAAGCUCACGAUGAUUCGAAACGAGGAUCGCGUGGAAAAAUAGGGACUUGCAUUCACGGAAUGAUUAGAUUGCACGCAUUUGUGAAAAUUGACAUAACUUUCACAUACGGUGUCCAUUUUGGGCCCAUAACAACAUUUCGAAAAGCUCAUUACGAUUCGGAUCGUGGUUCGUGGGGAAGAACCAGCCCUUGCGUACACGAAUGCUUGGAUUAAAUGUUUUCGAAGGAAUUGGCAUAAAUUUCGCAUACGUUGUCCGUUUUGGGCCCAUAAGCACAUUUCAAAAUUCUCGUGACGAUUCUAAACGAUGUUCAUGUGGAAGAAUCAAUACGUGCAUACACAGAAUUGUUGGAUUGUCAAUUUUCAAAAAAAUUGGUAUAACUUUCACAUAUGUUGUCCAUUUUGGUCCCAUAACCACCUUUCGGAAAGUUCAUGACGAUUCAAAAUGAGGUUCAUGUGGAAGAAACGGCACUUGAGUACACAGAACGCUUGGAUUGUCAGUUUCCAAAAAAUUGGCAUAACUUUCACAUAUGGUGUCCAUUUUGGUCCUAUAACCACAUUUCAAAAAUCUCGUGAUGAUUCAAAACGAAGUUUGCGUGGAAGAACUGACAAUUGUGUACACGAAUGCUUGGAUUGUAAGUUUUCAAAAUAAUUGGCGUUACUUUCGCAUUUUUCUUUUUGGGCCCAUAACCACAUUUUAGAAAGCUCGCGACGAUUCGGAACGAGGUUCGCAUGGAAAAAAGCACUUGUGAACCUAGAGCGAUUGGAUUGUCAGUGUUUCAAAAAAUUGGCAUAACUUUCACAUAUGGUGUCCGUUUAGGUCCAAUAACCACAUUUUGAAUAGCUCGCGACUACACGGAACGAGGUUCACGUGGAAAAAUUGGCACUCGCAUACACGGAAUGCUUAAAUUAUCAGUUUUCGAAAAAAUUUGCAUAACUUUCGCAUAUGAUGUCCGUCUUGGUCCCAUAACCACAUUUCAAAGAUCUCACGACGAUUAAGAAUGAGGUUCGUGUGGAAGAACGUGCACUUGCAUACACGAAAUGCUUGGAUUGUCAAUUUUCGAAAAAAUUGGCGUAACUUUCGCAUAUGGUGUCCGUUUUGAGCCCAUAACCACAUUUUAGAAAGCUCACGAUGAUUCAGAAUGAGGUUUGCAAUGAAGAACAAGCACUUGCAUACAUUGAAUGAUUGGAUUGUCAGUGUUUGAUAAAAUUGGCAUAACUUUCGCAUACGAUGUCGAUUUUGGGCCCAUAACCACAUUUCGGAAAGCUCGCGAUGACUCGAAAUGAGGUUUGCAUGGAAGGACGGGCACUUGCAUAUAUGGAAUGCUUGGAUUGUCAAUUUUCAAAAAAAUUGGCAUAACUUUCACAUACGUUGUCCUUUUCUGGCCCACAACCACAUUUUGAAAAGCUCGCGACGAUUCGGAAUGAGGUUCUAGUGGACGAAUAGUCACUUGCGUACACGGAACGGUUGGAUUGUCAAUUUUCGAACAAAUUGGCAUAGCUUUCGUAUACGAUGACCGUAUUGGGGCCAUAACCAUAUUUCGGAGAGCUCGCGAUGAUUUGGAAUGAGGAUCCUGUGGAAGAACUAGCACUUGCGUGCAUGGAAUGCUUGGAUUGUUAGUUUUCGAAAAAUUUGGCAUAACUUUCGCAUACGAUGUUCGUUUUGGGCCCAUAAACACAUUUCAAAAAGGUCGUGACGCGUAAGAACGAGGUUCAUGUGGAAGAACCAGCACUUACAUACACAGAACUCUUGGUUUAAAAGUUUUUGAAAAAAUUACCGUAACUUUUGCAUACGUUGUCCAUUUUUGGCCCAAAACCACAUUUCGAAAAGAUUGUGGUGAUUCAGAACAAGGUUUGCAUGGCAGAACAAGCACUUGUGUACGUGAAAUGUUUGGAUUGUUAGUUUAGAAAAAAUUGGCCUAACUUUUGCAUACGGAAUCCAUUUUGGGCCCAUAACCACAUUUUGAAAAGCUUGCGAUGUAGAGGUUCGCGUAGAAGAAUAGACACUUGCAUACAUGAAAUGCUUGGAUUGUCAAUUUUUGAAAAAAUUGGCAUACGAUUCCAUACGGUGUUCAUUUUGGGCCCAUUACCAUAUUUUAGAUAGCUCUCGACGAUUCGAAACGAGGUUUGCGUGGAAAAACAUGCACAUCCGUACACGGAACUGGAUUGUUAGUGUUCGAAAAAUUGGCAUAACUUAUGCAUACAAAGUUCGUUUUGGGCCCAUAUCUACAUUUCGGAAAGCUCACGAUGAUUCGGAACGAGGUUCCCGUGGAAGAACAGGCACUUGCGUACACGGAACGAUUGGAUUGUCAGUGUUGAAAAAAUUGGCAUAACUAUCGUAUACGGUGUCCAUUUUGGGUACUUAACCACAUUUUGAAAAGCUCGUGAUGAUUCAAAAAGAGGAUCGUGUGGAGGAACAGGCACUUGCAUACAUGGAAUGAUUGGAUUGUUAGUGUUUGAGAAAAUUGGCAUAAUUUUCACAUACGGUGUCCGUUUUAGGCCCAUAACCACAUUUUAGAAAGCUCAGGAUGAUUCAGAACGAGAUUCGUGAGGAAGAACUAGCACUUACGUGCACGGAAUGCUUGGAUGAAAAUUUUUCGAAAAAAUUGGCCUAACUUUUGCAUACGAUGUCUAUAUUGGCCCCAUAACCACAUUUUGAAAAGCUCGCUACGAUUUGGAAUGAGGUUCAUGUGGAAGAAUAGUAACUUCCGCGCACGAAACUCUAGGAUUGUCAGUUUUUCAAAAAAUUGGAAUAGCUUUCGCAUACAGUGUCCGUUUUGGGCCCAUAACCAUAUUUCAGAAAGCUCAAAGAGGUUCUCAUGGAAGAACAGACACUUGCAUUCAAGGAACACUUGGAUUGUCUGUUUUAGAAAAAAUUGGCAUAACUUUCGCAUACGGUGUCCAUUUUGGGCCCAUAACCACAUUCGAGAAAGCUCGCGAUGAUCAGAAUGAGAUUCACGUGGAAGAACAAGCACUUGUGUACACAGAAUGCUUGGAUUGCUAGUUUUUUAAAACAUUGUUAUAGCAUUCGCAUACGGUGUCCUUUUUGGGUCCAUAACCAAAUUUCAGAAACCUCGCGAUGAUUGAAGGAGGCUCUCGUGGAAGAAUAGACACUUGCGUUCAAGGAACACUUGGAUUGUCAGUUUUCGAAAAAAUUAACAUAACAUUCACAUAUGGUGUCCGUUUUGUGCCCAUAACCACAUUUGGGAAAGCUCACGACGAUUCAGAAUGAGAUUCAUGUAGAAGAACUGGCACUUGCGUACAUGAAACACCUGGAUUGUCAGCUUUCAAAAAAAUUGGCAUAACUUUCAAAUACGUUGUCCGUUUUGGGCCCAUAACCACAUUUCAAAAAGCUGGCGACGAUUUGGAAGUGAUUCGUGUGGAAGAAUCGACACUAGUGCACACAGAACUCUUGGACUUUCAGUCAUCAAAAAAUUUGGCAUAACUUUCGUAUACGGUGUCUGUUUUGGUCCAAUAACCACAAUUUGGAAAGCUCGUGAUGAUUCGGAACGCGUUUCGCAUGGAAGAUCCGACACUUGCUUACAUGCAAUGCUUGGAUUGUCAGUUUUUGAAAAAAUUGGCGUAACUUUCGCAUACGGUGUCCGUGUUGGGCCCAUAACCACAUUUUGAAAAGGUUGUGAUGAUUCGAAAUGAAGUUCACGUAGAAGAAUUGGUACAUGCGUACACGGAAUGCUUGGAUUGUUAAUUUUUGAAAAAUUUGCAUAACUUUUGCAUACGGUGUCCAUUUUGGGCCUAUAACCAUAUUUUGGAAAGCUCGUGAUGAUUCAGAAUGAGGUUCGUGUGGAGGAAUAGGCAUUUGCAUACACGGAAUACUAGGAUUGUUAGUUUUCAAACAAAUUAGCGUAGCUUUCACAUACGGUGUCCGUUUUGGGGCAAUAACCACAUUUCGAAAAGCUUGCGAUGAUUCAGAACGAGUUUCGUGUGGAAGAAUCUGUACUUGUGUACACUGAUCACUUGGAUUGCUUGGUUUCAAAAAAAUUGGCAUUACUUUCGCAUACAGUGUCCAUUUUCAGACCACAACCACAUUUCGGAAAGCUCACGGUGAUGAAGAAAGAGGUUCGCGUGAAAGAACUGACACUGGCAUACAUGGAAUGCUUGGAUUGUCAUUUUUCAAAAAAAUUGGCAUAACUUUCUCAUACGGUGUUCGUUUUGGCCCACAACCACAUUUAGGAAAGCUCGCAAAGCUUCAGAACGAGAUUCGCGUGGAAGAACCGGUACUUGCAUACAUGGAAUGCUUGGAUUGUCAUUUUUUGAAAUAAUUUUCAUAACUUUCGUAUAUGUGUCCAUUUUGGGACCCCGACCACAUUUCAGAAAGCUCACAAUGAUUAAAACGAGGUUCGAGUGGAAGGACAUGCACUUACAUACACAGAAUACUUGGAUUGUCAAUUUUUGAAAAAAUUGGCAUAGCUUUCGCAUAUGUUGUCCAUUUUAGGCCCAUAACCACAUUUUGGAAAGAUCGUGGUGAUUCGGAACGAGGUUUACGUGGAAGAAUCGGCACUUGCAAACACGGAAUGCUUGGGUUGUCAGUUUUCAAAAAAAUUGGAAUAAUUUUCACAUACGGUGUCCGUUUUGGGCCCAUAACCUAUUUCGAAAAGAUCGCGACGAUUCAGAAUGAGGUUUGCAUGGAAGUACUAGCACUUGUGUACACGAAAAGAUUGGAUUGUCAGUGUUUGAAAAAAUUGGCUUAAAUUUUGCAUACGGAGUCUGUUUUAGGCCCAUAACCACAUUUUGGAAAGCUCGCGACGAUUCGAAACGAGAUUUGGAUGGAAGAAUAAGCACUUGCAUACACGGAAUGACUAGAUUGUCAGUGUUUGAAAAAAUUGGCAUAACUUUAGCAUACAUGUCUAUUUUGGCCCCAUAACCACAUUUCGAAAAGCUCACGGCGAUUCGGAAUGAGGUUCGCGCUGAAGAACAAGUACUUUACAUACACGGAACGACUGGAUUGUCAGUGUUGAAAAAAUUGGCAUAACUUUCGCAUGCGCUGUCCAUUUUGGGCCCAUAACCACAUUUUGAAAAGUUCGCGAUGAUUCAAAAUGAGGUUCACGUGGAAGAACAGGCACGUGCAUACAUAGAACGCAUGGAUUGUCAAUUUUCAAAAAUAUUGGCAUAACUUUCGUAUACGGUGUAGGUUUUGGCCCCACAACCACAUUUCGGAAAGCUCGCGAUGAUUAAGAAUGAGGUUCGCAUGGAGGAAUGAGUACUUGCAUACACGGGUACACGGGAUGCCUCGAUUGUCAGUGUUUGAAAAAAUUGGCAUAACUUUUGCAUACGGAGUCUGUUUUGGGCCCAUAACCACAUUUCAAAAAGUUUGCGAUGAUUCAGAACGAGGUUUGUGUGGAAGAACUGGCACUUGCAUACACUGAACGAUUGGAUUGUCAGUGUUGAAAAAAUUGGCAUGACUUUUGGAUACGGUGUCCGUUUUGGGCCCAUAACAUUAUUUCGAAGGGCUCGCGGCGACUAGGAAUGUUGUUCACGUGGAAGAACAGGAACUUGUGUACAUGGAACGAUUUGAUUGUCAUUGUUAGAAAAAUUGGCAUAACUUUCGCAUAUGGUGUCCGUUUUGGGCCCAUAACCACAUUUCAAAAAGCUCGCGACGAUUCAAAAUGAGGUUCGAGUAGAAGAACCAGCACGUGCAUACACGAAAUGCUUAGAAUGUCAGUUUUCAAAAAAAUUUGCAUAACUUUCGCAUACGGUGUCCAUUUUGGUCCCAUAACCACAUUUCAAAAAGCUCAUGACGAUUAAGAACGCGAUUCGCAUGGAAGAAUUGUCACUGGCAUACACGGAACGCUUGGAUUGUCAAUUUUUGAAAACUUGGCAUAACUUUCGCAUACGAUGCCCAUUUUGGUCAUUUCGAAAAGCUCGCGAUGAUUCGAAAUGAGGUUCUCGUGAAAGAACUUGAACUUGCAUACACGGAAUGCGUGGAUUCUCAAUUUUUAAAAAAAAAUUGGCAUAACUUUUGCAUACGGUGUCCGUUUUGAGCCCAUAACCACGUUUCAGAAAGCUCACAACAAUUCGAAAUGAGGUUCGCAAUGAAGAACAAGCACUUGCAUAUGCUGAACGACUGGAUUGUCAGUAUUUGACAAAAUUGGCAUAACUUUCACAUACGGUGUCCAUUUUGGUCCCAUAAACACAUUCUGGAAAGCUCGCAAUGAUUCAAAAUGAGGUUCGCAUGGAAGAAUGGGCACUUGCAUACACGAAAUGCUUGGAUUAUCAAUUUUCCAAAAAAAUUGGCAUAACUUUAGCAUACGUUGUCCGUUUUUGGCCCACAGCCACAUUUUAAAAAGCUCGCGAUGAUUUGGAAUGAGGUUCAAGUGGACGAAUAGUCACUUGCAUACACAAAACUCUAAGAUUGUCAGUUUUCAAAAAAAUUGGCAUAGCUUUCGUAUACGAUGUCCGUUUUGGGCCCAUAACCAUAUUUUGGAAAGCUCGCGACGAUUCGGAAUGAGGAUCGCGUGGAAGAACCGGCACUUGCAUACAAGGAAUGAUUGGAUUGUCUGUUUUCGAAAAAAUUGGCAUAACUUUCGCAUAUGUUGUCCGUUUUGGGCCCAUAACCACAUUUCGGAAAGGUCAUGAUUCGAAAUGAGGUUUACAUGGAAGAACAAGAACUUGUGUACACUGAAUGAUUGGAUUGUCAGUUUAAAAAAAAUUGGCUUAACUUUCGCAUACGGAGUCCAUUUUUUUCCCUUAACCACAUUUGGAAAAGCUCGUGAUGAUUUGGAACGAGGUUCGUAUGGAAGAACAGAAACUUGCAUACACAAAAUGCUUGGAUUGUCAGUUUUCGAAGAAAUUGGCAUAGGAAUCCAUACGGUGUUCACUUUGGGCCCAUUACCAUAUUUCGGAAAGCUCUCGACGAUUUGAAAUGAGGUUUGCAUGGAAAAAUGAAAACUUGCGUACACGGAAUGAUUUGAUUGUCAAUGUUCAAAAAAAUUGGCAUAACUUACGCAUACGGAGUUCGUUUUAGGCCCAUAUCCACAUUUCAGAAAGCUCAUGAUGAUUCGAAACGAGGUUCGCGUGGGAGAAUAGGCACUUGCGUACACGGAAUGGUUGGAUUGUCAGUGUUGAAAAAAUUGGCAUAACUAUCGCAUGCGGUGUCUAUUUUGGGUACAUAACCACAUUUUAGAAAGCUCGCGAUGAUUCAGAACAAAGAUCGCAUGGAGGAACGGGAACUUAUGUACACGGAAUGAUUGGAUUGUCGAUGUUUGAGAAAAUUGGCGUAACUUUCACAUACGGUGUCCGUUUUGGGCCCAUACCACAUUUUAGAAAGCUUUGGACGAUUCAGAACGAGAUUUGUGAGGAAGAACUAGCACUUGCAUACACGGAAUGCUUGGAUUAAAAGUUUUCGAAAAAAUUGGCAUAACUUUCGCAUACGCUGUGUUCGUAUUGGGCCCAUAACCACAUUUCGAAAAGCUCACGAUGAUUCAGAACGAGGUCCACGUAAAAGAAUAGUCACUUGAGUGCACGGAACUCUUGGAUUGUCAGUUUUUGAAAAAAAUGGUAUAGCUUUCACAUACGAUGUUCAUUUUGGGCCCAUAAUCAUAUUUCAGAAAGCUCAAAGAGGUUCUCGUCGAAGAACAGGUACUUACAUUCGAGGAACACUUGGAUUGUCAGUUUUAGAAAAAAUUGGCAUAACUUUCGCAUACGGUGUCCAUUUUGGGCCCAUAACCACAUUUGGAAAAGCUCGCGACGAUUCAGAAUGAGAUUCACGUGGAAGAACAGGCGCUUACGUACACAGAACGCUUGGAUUGCCAAUUUUUCAAAAAUCGGCGUAGCUUUCACAUACGGUGUCCUUUUUGGGCCCAUAACCAAAUUUCGGAAAGCUUGCGAUGAUUUUGAAAGAGAUUCUUGUGGAAGAACAGACACUUGCGUUCAAGGAACACUUGGAUUAUCAGUAGAAAAAAUUGGAAUAACAUUCACAUACGGUGUUCGUUUUGGGCCCAUAACCACAUUUGGGAAAGCUCGCGACGAUUCAGAAUGAGAUUCGUGUAGAAGAAUCGGUACUUGUGUGAAACACUUCGAUUGUCAACUUUCAAAAAAGUUGGCAUAACUUUCGCAUACGGUGUCCGUUUUGGGCCCAUAACCACAUUUCGAAAAGCUGGAAACAAUUUGGAACGUGAUUCAUGUGGAAGAAUCGACACUUGUGUACACAGAACGCUUGGACUUUCAAUUUUCGAAAAAUUUGGAAUAACUUCUGUAUACGGUGUCCAUUUUGGUCCAAUAACAACAUUUUGGAAAGUUCGCGACGAUUCUAAAUGUGGUUCGCAUGGAAGAUCCGACACUUGCAUACAUGGAAUGCGUUAAUUGUCAGUUUUCAAAAACAUUGGCGUAACUUUCAUAUACGGUGUCCGUGUUGGGCCCAUAACCACAUUUCAAAAGGCUCACGUUGAUUCGAAACAAGGUUCGCGUAGAAAAAUUGGCACAUGCGUACACGGAAUGCUUGGAUUGUCAAUUUUUGAAAAAACUGGCAUAACUUUCAUAUACGCUAUCCGUUUUGGGCCCAUAACCACAUUUUGAAAAGCUCAUGACGAUUUGGAACGAGGUUUGUGUGGAAGAACAGGCAUUUGCAUACACCGAAAGCUAGAAUUGUUAGUUUUCAAAAAAAUUGGCGUAGCUUUCGCAUACGGUGUCUGUUUUGGGAGAAUAACCACAUUUCGAAAAGCUCGUGACGAUUCGGAAUGAGUUUCAUGUGGAAUAACUGGCCCUUGUGUACACUGAUUGCUUGGAUUGUCUGGUUUUAAAAAAAUUGGCAUUACUUUCGCAUAUGGUGUCCAUUUUCGGACCACAACCAUAUUUCAAAAAGCUCACAACGAUUAUGAAAGAGGAUCGCAUGGAAGAAAUGGCACUGGCGUACACGAAAUGUUUGGAUUGUCAGUUUUCAAAAAAAUUGGCAUAACUUUCGUAUACGGUGUCCGUUUUGGGCACACAACCACAUUUAGGAAAGCUUUCAAAGAUUUAGAACUAGAUUCACGUGGAAGAACCGGUAUUUGCGUACAUGGAAUGCUUGGAUUGUCAUUUUUUGAAAAAAAUUGCAUAACUUUCGCAUACGGUGUCCGUUUUGGACCCACAAACACGUUUUGGAAAACUAGCGACAAUUAAGAAUGAUGUUCGCAUAGAAGAACCGGCACUUCCGUGCAUGGAACACUUGGAAUGUCCAGUUUCAAAAAAAUUGGCAUAACUUUCGUAUAUGGUGUCCGUUUUGGGUCCAUAACCACAUUUCAAAAAGCUGGUGAUGAUUUGGAACUUGAUAUGCGUGGAAGAAUCGACACUUGCGCAUAUAGAAUGCUUGGAUUCUUAGUUUUCAAAAAAUUUGGCAUAACUUUCGCACAGGGUGUCCGUUUUGGUCCAAUAACCACAUUUUGAAAAGCUCACGAUGAUUCGGAACGAGGUUUGUAUGGAAGAUCCGACACUUGAGUACACGGAAUGCUGGGACUGUUAGUUUUUGAAAAAAUUGGCAUAACUUUCGCAUACAGUGUCCGUUUUAGGCCCAUAGCCACAUUUCGAAAAGUUGGCGAUGAUUUGGAACUUGAUAUGCCGGAAGGACCGACACUUGCGCACACAAAAUGCUUGGAUCGUCAGUUUUCAAAAAAUUUGGCAUAACUUUCGCACACGGUGUCUGUUUUGGUCCAAUAACCACAUUUCGAAAAGCUCGCGACGAUUCGAAACGAGGUUUGCAUGGAAGAUCCGACACUUGUAUACACGGAACGCUUAGACUGUCAAUUUUCGAAAAAAUUAGCAUAACUUUCGUAUACAGUGUCCGUGUUGGGCCCAUAACCACAUUUUAGAAAGCUCGCGACGAUUCGGAGCGAGGUUCGCGUAGAAGUACUGGCACAUGCGUACACGGAAUUCUUGGAUUGUCAAUUUUUUAAAAAAUUGGCAUAACUUUCGCAUACGGUGUUCGUUUUAGGUCCAUAACCCCAUUUCAAAAAGGUCGUGAUGAUUCGGAACAAGGCUCACAUGGAAGAAUAGGCACUUGUACACACGGAAUGCUUGGAUUGUUAGUUUUUGAAAAAAUUGGCAUAACUUUCUCAUACGGUGUCCGUUUUCGGGCAUUAACCACAGUCCGAAAUGCUCACGACGAUUCGAAAUGAGUUUCAUGUGGAACAACUGGCACUUGUGUACUCUGAUCGCUUGGAUUGUCUAUUUUCAAAAAUUUUGGCAUUACUUUCGCAUACAGUGUCCAUUUUUGGCCCACAACCACAUUUCGAAAAUCUCGCGACGAUUAAGAAAGAGGUCUGCAUGGAAGAAUUGGCACUGGCGUACACAAAAUGCUUAGAUUGUCAGUUCUUGAAAAAAAUUGCAUAACUUUCGCAUACGUUGUCCGUUUUGGGCCCUUAACCAUAUUUCAAAAAGCUCACGAUGAUUUGGAAAGAGGUUCGUGUGGAAGAACGGGUACUUGCGUACAAGAAACGCUUGGAUUGUCAAUUUUCAAAAUAAUUGGCAUAACUUUCACAUAUUGUGCACCGUUUUGGGCCCAUAACCACAUUUUUAAAAGCUCACAAUGAUUUGAAACGAGGUUCGCAUGGAAGAAUAGUCACUUGCCUACACAAAAUGCUUAGAUUGUCUGUUUUCAAAAAAAAUUGGCAUAUCUUUCGCAUACGGUGUCCAUUUUGGGCCCAUAACCAUAUUUCAAAAAGCUCACGAUGAUUGGUAUCGAGGUUCGGGUGGAAGAACAGGCACUUGUGUACAAGGAAAGCUUGGAUUGUAAGUUUUUGCAAAAAUUGGCAUAAAUUUCACAUACGGUGUCCAUUUUGGGCCCAUAACCACAUUUAAGGAAGCUCGCAACAAUUCGAAAUGAGGUUUCCAUGAAAGAAUUGACAAUUACAUACAUGAACCCUUGGAUUGUCCAUUUUUGAAAAAAUUGGCAUAAUUUUUGCAUACGGUGUCUGUUUUGGGCCCUUAACCACAUUCCAGAAAGCUUUAGACGAUUCGAAACAAGGUUCGCGUGGAAGAAUAGGCACUUGAGUACACAGAGUGAUUGGAUUGUCAUUUUUCGAAAAAAUUGGCAUAAUUUUUGCAUACGGAGUCCGUUUUGGGCCCAAGAACACAUUUCGAAAAGCUUACGACGAUUAAGAAUGAGGUUCACGUGGAAAAGCCGGCACUUGAAUACAUGAAAUGCUUAGAUUGUCGGUUUUUGAAAAAAUUGGCAUAACUUUCGCAUAUGGUGUCCGUUUUGGGCCCAUAACCACAUUUAGGAAUGCUCGCAAAGAUUCAAAACGAGAUUCACAUUGAAGAACAGUUACUUGCGUACACGAAAUGCUUGGAUUAUAGAUUUUCAAAAAAAUUGUUAAAACUUUCACAUACGUUGUCCGUUUUGGGCCCAUAACCACAUUUUGAAAAGCUCACGAUGAUUCGGAAUGAGGUUCGUGUGGAAGAAUAGGCACUUGUGUACACGAAACACUUUGUUUCUAAGUUUUCAAAAAAAUUGGCAUAACUUCUGUAUACGGUGUCUAUUUUGGGCCCAUAACCACAUUUCGAAAAGCUAGCGACGAUUUGUAAUGUGACUCGCGUUGAAGAACCGCACACACAGAAUGCUUGGAUUGUCAGUUUUCAGAAAAUUUGGAAUAACUUUCACAUACGGUAUCCAUUUUGGUCCAAUAACCACAUUUCGGAAAGCUCGCGACGAUUUGGAACGAGGUUCGCAUGGAAGAUCUGACUCUUGUAUACAUGGAAUGCUUGGAUUGUCCGUUUUCAAAAAAAUUGGCAUAACUUUCGCAUACGGUGUCCAUGUUGGGGCCAUAACCACAUUUCAGAAAGCUCGCAACGAUUCGAAUGAGGUCCGCAUUGGAGAACCGGCACAUGCGUACACGGAAAGCUUGGAUUGUCAAUUUUUGAAAAAAUUGGCAUAACUUUCACAUACGGUGUCGGUUUUGGGUCCAUAACCCCAUUUUGAAAAGCUCGUGAUGAUUCGAAACGAGUUUCUCAUGGAAGAAUAGGCACUUGCAAACACGGAACGCUUGGAUUGUUAGUUUUCAAAAAAAUUAGCAUAACUUUCGCAUACGGUGCCCAUUUUGGGGCAAUAACCACAUUUUGAAAAGCUCGCCACGAUUCAAAACGAGUUUCAUGUGAAGGAAUCGGUACUUAUGUACAUUGAUCGCUUGGAUUGUCUGUUUUAAAAAAAUUGGCAUUACUUUCGCAUACAGUGUCAAUUUUCGGCCCACAACCAUAUUUCAGAAAGCUUGUGAUGAUUAAGGAAGCAGUUCGCGUGUAAGAAUCGACACUGGCGUACACAGAAUGCUUGGAUUGUUAGUUCUCAAAAAAAUUGGUAUAACUUUCACAUACGUUGUCCAUUUCGGGCCCAUAACCAUAUUUCAAAAAGCUCGCGAUGAUUUGGAUCGAGGUUUGCGUGGAAGAACAGGCACUUGCGUACAAGGAAUGCUUGGAUUAUCAGUUUUCGAAAUAGUUGUCAUAACUUUCGCAUACUACGCCCCAUUUUGGGCCCAUAACCACAUUUCAAAAUGUUCGCGAUGAUUCGAAACGAGGUUCACAUGGAAGAAUAGUCACUUGCAUACACAGAAUGCUUUGAUUGUCAGUUUUCAAAAAAAUUGGCAUAUCUUUCACAUACGGUGUCCAUAUUAGGUCCACAACCCUAUUUCUAAAAGCUCGCGAUGAUUGGUAUUGAGGUUCACAUGGAAGAAUAGGCACUUGCGUACAAGGAACGCUUGGAUUGUAAGUUUUUGCAAAAAUUGGCAUAAAUUUCGCACACGGUGUCCAUUUUGGGCCCAUAACCACAUUUAGGAAAGCUUCCGAUGAUUCAUAAUAAGGUUCGCGUGAAAGAACUGUCAAUUGUGUACACAAACCCUGGAUUGUCUAUUUUCGAAAAAAUUGGCAUAAUUUUCGCAUACGGUGUCCAUUUUAGGCCCAUAACCACAUUUCAAAAAGUUCACGAUGAUUCGUAAUGAGGUUCGUGUGGAAGAACAGGCACUUGCGUACACAGAGCGAUUGGAUUGUCAUUUUUCAAAAAAAUUGGUAUAAGUUUCGUAUACGGUGUUCAUUUUUGUCCAAUAACCACAUUUCAGAAAGGUCAUGAUGAUUUAGAACGAGGUUCGCAUGGAAGAUUUGACACUUACGUACAUGGAAUGCUUGGAUUGUCAGUUUUCGAAAAAAUUGGCAUAACUUUCACAUACGGUGUCAGUGUUGGGCCCAUAACCACAUUUCUAAAAGCUUGCAACUGCUUGGAAUGUGAUUCAUGUGGAAUAACCAACACUUGUACACACAGAACGAUUGGAUUGUCAGUUUUUGAAAAAUUUGGCAUAAUUUUCGCAUACGGUGUCUAUUUUGGUCCAAUAACCACAUUUCGAAAAGUUCAUGACGAUUCAAAAUGAGGUUUGCAUGGAAGAUUUGACACUUGGGUACACGGAAUGCUUGGACUGUUAGUUUUCGAAAAAAUUGGCACAACUUUCACAUACGAUGUCCGUGUUGGGCCCAUAACCACAUUUCGAAAAUCUCGCGAUGAUUUGGAAUGUGAUUCGUGUGGAAGAACCGACACUUGCACACACAGAACGCUUGGAUUGUCAGUUUUCAAAAAAUUUGGUAUAACUUUCGUAUACGGUGUCCGUUUUGGUCCAAUAACCACAUUUCGGAAAGUUCACGAUGAUUCGAAACGAGGUUCACAUGGAAGAUCCGACACUUGCGUACACGGAACGGAUAGAUCGUCAGUUUAAGGCACACCUUUCGCAUACAGUGUCCGUGUUGGGCCUAUAACCACAUUUCGAAAAGCUCGUGAUGAUUCAGAACGAGGUUCACGUCGAAGAACCGACACAUGCGUACACGGAAUGCUUGGAUUGUCAAUUUUUGAAAAAAAAUGGCUUAACUUUCGCAUACAGUGUCCAUUUCAGGCCCAUAACCACAUUUCGAAAAGCUCGUGAUGAUUCGAAACAAGGUUUGUGUGGAAGAACGGGCAUUUGUGUACACGGAAUGCUUGGAUUGUUAGUUUUCGAAAAAAUUGGCAUAAUUUUAGCAUACGGUGUCCGUUUUGGGGCAACAACCACAUUUCGAAAAGCUCACAACGAUUCGAAAUGAUGUUACUAUGGAAGAACCGGUACUUGCGUACAUUGAUCACUUAUAUUGUCUAUUUUCAAAAAAAUUGGCAUUACUUUCAUAGACGGUAUCCAUUUUCAGCCCACAACCACAUUUUGAAAAGCUCGCGACGAUUAAGAAAGAGGUUCGUGUGGAAGAACCAGCACUGGCAUACAAAGAACGCUUGGAUUGUCAGUUUUCAAAAAAAUUGGCAUAACUUUUACAUACGGUAUCCAUUUUGGUCCCAUAGCCACAUUUUGGAAAGCUUGAGAGGAUUAAGAACGAGGUUCGCGUGAAAGAAUCGGCACUUGAGUACACAAAACCCUUGGAUUAUCAAUUUUCAAAAAAUUGGCAUAACUUUCACAUACGGUGUCUAUUUUUGCCCCAUAACCACAUUUCGGAAAGCUCGUGACGAUUCAAAAUGAGGUUCACGUGGAAGAACUGACAAUUACGUACACGAACGCUUGGAUUGUCAGUUUUCGAAAAAAAUUGGCAUACCUUUCGCAUACGGUGUCCGUUUUGGGCACAUAACCAUGUUUCAAAAAGAUCGUGACAAUUUUGAACGAGGUUCGUGUGGUAGAACCAGUCAUCGUGUACAUGGAAUGCUUGGAUUAAAAGUUUUCGAAGGAAUUGUUAUAAAAUUCGCAUACAUUGUCCAUUCUGGGCCCAUAAAUAUAUUUCGGAACGCUCGCGAUGAAUCGAAAUGACGUUCGUAUGGAAGAACCAGUACUUGCGUACAUAGAAUGCUUGGAUUGUCAAUUUUUUAAAAAAUUGGCAUAACUUUCGCAUACGGUGUCCAUUUUGGUCCCAAAACCAUAUUUCAGAAAGCUCGCGACAAUUAAGAACGAGGUUCAAGUGGAAGAACCAGCACUUGUAUACAUGGAUUGCUUGGAUUGUCAGUGUUUGAAAAAACUAGCACAACUCUUGCAUACGGAGUCCAUUUUGGGCCCAUAACCACAUUUGGAAAAGCUCGAGAUGAUUCAGAAUGAGGCACUUGCGUACACGAACGCUUAAAUUGUCAGUUUUCAAAAAAAUUUGCAUAACUUUCAUAUACGGUGCCCAUUUUCAUCCUAUAACCACAUUUCAAAAAGCUUGCGACGAUUCGAAACGAGGUUUGCAUGGAAGAAUAGGCACGUGUGUACACAUAAUGCUUAAAUUGUCAAUUUUCAAAAAAAUUGGCAUAACUUUCGCAUACCGUGUCUGUUUUGAACCGACGCUUGAGUACACGGAACGUUUGAAUUGUUAUUUUUUGAAAAAUUGGCAUAACUUUCUCAUACAGUGUCUGUUUUGGGCCCAUAACCACAUUUCAAAAAGUUCGGGACGAUUCAGAACGAGGUUCAUGUGGAAGAACCGGCACGUGCAUACAUAGAAUUCUUAGAUUGUCAUUUCUCAAAAAAAUUGGCUUAACUUUUGCAUACGUUGUUCGUUUUGGUCCAUAACCACAUUUUGGAAAGCUCGCGACGUUUAAGAACGAGGUUCGCAUGGAAGAACCGACACUUGCAUACACGAAACACUUAGAAUGUCAGUGUUUGAAAAAAUUGGCACAACUUUUGCAUAUGGAGUUCAUUUUGGGCCCAUAACCACAUUUCAAAAAGCUCGCAAUGAUUUAGAAUGAGGUUCACGUGGAAGAACUUACACUUAUGUACACGAAUGCUUAAAUUGUUAGUUUUUGAAAAAAAUGGCUUAACUUUCACAUUCAUUGUCCGUUUUGGUCAAAUAGCCACAUUUCGGAAAGUUCGCGACGAUUAAAAAUGAGGUUCACGUGGAUGAACCAGCACUUGCAUACACGGAACGGUUGGAUUAUCAAUGUUUGAAAAAAUUGGCACAACUUUUGCAUACGGAGUCCAUUUGGGCCAUAACCACAUUUCGAAAAGCUCGCAAUGAUUCAGAAUGAGGUUCGCAUGGAAGAACAGGUACUUGCAUACAAGGAACGCUUGGAUUGUUAGUUUUCGAACUAAUUGGCAUAACUUUCGCAUAAUGUGCCUCGUUUUGGGCCCAUAACCACAUUUUGAAAAGCUCGGGACGAUUCGGAACGAGGUUCGCGUGGAAGAACAGUCACUUGCAUACAUAGAACGCUUGGAUUGUUAGUUUUCAAAAAAAUUGGCAUAUCUUUCACAUACAGUGUCCAUUUUGGGCCCAUAACCAUAUUUCGAAAAGCUCACGAUGAUUGGUAUAGAGGUUCACGUGGAAGAACAGGCACUUGUGUACAAGGAACUCUUGGAUUGUAAGUUUUUGCAAAAAUUGGCAUAAAUCUCGAAUACGGUGUCCAUUUUGGGGCCAUAACCACAUUUAAGAAAGCUCGCGAUGAUUCGGAAUGAGGUUCGCAUGAAAGAACUGACAAUUGCAUACACGAACCCUUGGAUUUUUCAUUUUUGAAAAAAUUGGCAUAAUUUUCACAUACGGUGUCUGUUUUGGGCCCAUAACCACAUUUCAAAAAGCUCGCGACGAUUCGGAAUGAGGUUCGCGUGGAAGAACGGGCACUUACGUACACAGAGCGAUUGGAUUGUAAUUUUUCGAAAAAAACUGGUAUAACUUUCGCAUACGAUGUCUGUUUUGGUACAAUAACCAAAUUUUAGAAAGCUUGUGACGAUUCAGAAUGAGUUUCGUAUGGAAGAUUUGACACUUGUGCACACAGAACGCUUGGAUUGUCAAUUUUCAAAAAAAUGGCAUAACUUUUACAUACGGUGUCCAUGUUGGGCCCAUAACCACAUUUCAGAAAGUUUUCGACAAUUUGGAAUGUGAUUCGUGUGGAAGAACCGACACUUGCACACAUAGAAUGCUUGGAUUGUCAGCUUUCGAACAAUUUGGCAUAACUUUCACAUACGGUUUCCAUUUUGGUCCAAUAACCACAUUUCGGAAAGCUUGCGACGAUUCGGAACAAGGUUUGCAUGGAUGAUCUGACACUUGUGUAACAGAACGCUUGGAUUGUAUGUUUUCGAAAAAAUUGGCAUAACUUUUGCACACUGUGUCCGUGUUGGGCCCAUAACCACAUUUCAGAAAGCUCGCAACGAUUCGGAAUGAGGUUUGCGUAGAAGAAUCGGCACGUAAGUACACGAAACGCUUGGAUUGUCAAUUUUUGAAAAAAUUGGCAUAACUUUUGCAUACGGUGUCCGGUUUGUGCCCAUUACCACAUUUCAAAAAGCUCGUGAUUAUUCGAAACAGGAUUCACGUGGAAGAAUAGGCAUUUGCGUACACGAAAUGCUUGGAUUGUUAGUUUUUGAAAAAAAUUGAAUUUUCUCAUACAGUGUCCAUUUUCACCGACGACCACAUUUCGGAGAGCUUGUGACAAUUAAGAAAGAGGUUCGCAUGGAAGAACCGACACUGGCAUACAAGGAACACUUAGAUUGUCAGUUUUCAAAAAAAUUGGCAUAACUUUUACAUACAGUGUCUAUUUUAGCCCCAUAACCACAUUUCAGAAAGCUUGUGAUGAUUCGGAUCGAGAUUUUCUAGGAAAAACCGACAUUACGUACAUGGAAUACUUAGAUUGUAAAUUUUCAAAAAAAUUGGUAUAACUUUUGCAUGCAGUGUCCGUUUUGGCCCAAUAACCACAUUUUGAAAAGCUCGUGACGAUUCGGAACGAGGUUUGCCUGGAAGAACAGGCACUUGAGUACAGGAAAUGAUUAGAUUAUCAAUGUUUGAAAAAAUUGGCAUAACUUUCGCAUACUGUAUCUAGUUUGGUCCCAUAACCACAUUUCGAAAAUCUCGAGACAAUUCGAAAUGAUGUUCGCAUGGAAGAACAAGGACUUGUGUGCACGGAAAGAUUGGAUUGUUAGUGUUUGAAAAAAUUGGUAUAACUUUUAUAGACAGAGUUCGUUUUGGGUCCAUAACCCCAUUUCGAAAAGCUCGUGACGAUUUGGAACGAGGUUUGUGUGGAAGAACAAGCACUUGCAUACACGGAAUGACUAGAUUGUCUGUGUUCGAAAAAAUUGGCAUAACUUUAGCGUACGUGUCCAUUUUGGUCCUAUAACCACAUUUCAAAAAGCUCGUAGCGAUUUGGAACGAGGGUCACGUGGAAGAACAGGUACUUGCUUACAAGAAACGCUUGAGUUGUCAGUUUCAAAAAAAUUGACAUAACUUUCGCAUAUGUUGUCCGUUUUGGGCCCAUAACCAUAUUUCGAAAAGUUCGCGACGAUUUGGAACGAGGUUCGGGUGGAAGAAGAGGCACUUGCGUACAAGGAACGCUUGGAUUGUCACUUUUCGAAGUAAUUGGCUUAACUUUCACAUACUACGCCCAUUUUAGGCCCAUAACCACAUUUCAAAAAGUUCGUGACGAUUCAAAAUGAGGUUCGUGUGGAAAAACAGUCACUUGUGUACAGAGAACGCUUAGAUUGUCAGUUUUCAAAAAAAUUGGCAUAUCUUUCACAUAAGGUGUCCAUUUUGGGACAAUAACCAUACUUUGGAAAGUUCGUGAAGAUUGGUAUUAAGGUUCACAUGGAAGAACAGGCAUUUAUGUACAAGGAACGCUUGGAUUGUAAGUUUUAGCAAAAAUUGGCAUAAAUUUUGCAUACGGUGUCCAUUUUGGGCCCAUAACCACAUUUAGGAAAGCUCGUGAUGAUUCGAAAUGAGGUUCACAUGAAAGAACAGACAAUUGCAUACAUGAACCCUUGGAUUGUCCAUUUUAGAAAAAAUUGACAUAACUUUCGCAUACGGUGUCCGUUUUAGGUCCAUAACCACAUUUAGGAAAGCUCGUGACGAUUCAAAAUGAGGAUCGUGUGGAAGAACAGGCACUUACGUGCACAGAGCGAUUGGAUUGUCAUUUUUCGUAAAAAUCGACAUAACUUUUGCAUACGGUGUCCGUUUUGGUCCCAUAACCACAUUUCGAAAAGCUCGCGAGGAUUAAGAAUGAGGUUCGCGUGGAAGAACUGGUACUUGAGCACACGAAAACUUUGGAUUGUCAGUUUUUGAAAAAUUGACAUAACUUUCACAUACGAUGUCCAUUUUGGCCCCAUAACCACAUUUUGGAAAGCUUGUGACGAUUCAAAAUGGGAUUCUUGUGGAAGAACUAACAAUUGCGUGCACGAACACUUGGAUUAUCAAUUUUUGAAAAAAAGUUGGCAUACAUUUCGCAUACGGUGUCCAUUUUGGGCCCCUAACCACAUUUCAAAAAGAUCGUGACUAUUCGGAAUGAGUUUUGUGUGGCAGAACCAAUCCUCACGUACAAGGAAUGUUUGGAUUAAAAGUUUUCUAAGGAAUUGGCAUAAAUUUCACAUACGUUGUCCAUUCUGGGCCCAUCAGCAUAUUUCGAAACGUUCACGAUGAAUCGAAAUGACGUUCACAUGGAAGAAUCGGCACGUGCAUACACAGAAUGCUUGGAUUGUCAAUUUUGGAAAAAAUUGGCAUAACUUUCAUAUACGAUGUCCGUUUUGGUCCGAAACCCACAUUUCAAAAAGCUCGAGAUGAUUAAGAACGAGCUUCGUGUGGAAGAAUCGACACUUGCAUACACGAAACGUUUGGAUUGUUAGCGUUUGAAAAAAUUGGCACAACUUUUGCAUACGGAGUCCGUUUUGGGCCCAUAACCACAUUUCGAAAAGCUCGCGAUGAUUCAGAAUGAUGUUCGCGAGAAAGAACAAACACUUGCGUACACGAACGCUUAAAUUGUUAAUUUUCGAAAAAAAUUGUAUAACUUUUGAAUACGGUGUCCGUUUUGGUCCAUAACAACAUUUUGAAAAGCUCACGAUGAUUCGGAAUAAGAUUCGCGUGGAAGAACCGGCAUGGACGUGCACAGAAUGCUCAAAUUGUUGGUUUUCGAAAAAAUUGGGAUAACUUUCGCAUACAGUGUCCGUUUUGGUCCCAUAACCACAUUUUGAAAAGCUCGCGACAAUUAAGAACGAGGUUCGUGUGAAAGAACCAGCACUUGAGCACACAGAAUGCUUGGAUUGUUAGUUUUCGAAAAAUUGGCAUAACUUUCUCAUAUAGUGUUCGUUCUGGGCCCAUAACCACAUUUCGAAAAGCUCGAGACAAUUCAGAACAAGGUUUGUGUGGAAGAAUCGGCACAUGCAUACAUGGCAUUCUUAAAUUGUCAAUUUUCAAAGAAAUUGGCUUAACUUUCGCAUACGGUGUCUGUUUUGGUCCCUUGACCACAUUUUAGAAAGAUCGUGACAAUUCGAAAUGAGAAUCCUGCAGAAGAACAGACAAUUGCACACAUAAAUGCUUGGAUUGUAAGUUUUCGAAAAAAUUGGCAUAACUUUCCCAUACUGUGUUCGUUUUGGGCCCAUAACCACAUUCUGGAAAGUUCGCGGUGAUUUGGAACGAGGUUCACAUGGAAGAAUAGGCACUUGCGUACACUGAUCGCUUGGAUUGUCUGUUUUCAAAAAAAUUGGCUUUACUUUUGCAUACGGAGUCCAUUUUUGACCCACAACCACAUUUCGAAAAGCUCGCGAUAAUUAAGAUAGAGGUUCGCGUGGAAGAGCUAGCACUGGUGUAGAUGAAAUGCUUGGAUUGUCAGUUCUCAUAAAAAUCAGCAUAACUUUCGCAUACGUUGUUCGUUUUGGGCCCAUAACCAUAUUUCGAAAAGCUCGUGACGAUUUGGAAUGAGGAUCGCGCGAAAGAACAAGCACUCGCAUACAAAGAAUGACUGGAUUGUCAGUUUUUGAAAUAUUUGGCUUAACUUUCACAUACUAUGCCCGUUUUGGGCCCAUAACCACAUUUUGAAAAGCUCGCGACGAUUCAAAACGAGGUUCAUGUCGAAGAACAGUCAUUUGUGUACAUAGAAUGCUUGGAUUGUCAGUUUUCAAAAAAAUUGGCAUAUCUUUUGCAUACGGUAUCCAUUUUGGGCCCAUAACCAUAUUUCAGAAAGCUCGCGAUGAUUUGUAUUGAGGCUCAUGUGGAAGAACAGGCACUUGUGUACAAGGAACACUUGGAUUGUCAAUUUUUGAAAAAAAUUAGCAUAACUUUCGCAUACAGUGUCCAUUUUGGGCCCACAAUGACAUUUCGAAAAGCUGGCGAUGAUUCGAAAUGAGGUUCGUGGAGAAGAAUCGGCACUUGCAUACACAGAUCGCUUGGAUUGUUUGUUUUCGAAAAAAUUAGCACUACUUUCGCAUGCGGUGACCAUUUUCGACCCCCAACCACAUUUUGAAGAGCUCGUGAUGAUUAAGAGCGAGUUUUGCGUUGAACAACUAGCACUGGAGUACACGAAAUGCUUGGAUUGUCAGUUUUUGAAAAAAUUGGCAUAACUUUCGCAUACAGUGUCCCUUUUUGGGUCCAUAACCACAUUUCGAAAAACUUGUGAUGAUUCGCAACGAGGUUUUCAUUGAAGAACCGGCACUGGCAUACAUGGAAUGCUUGGAUUGUUAAUUUUUGAAAAAAUUGGCAUAAUGUUUACAUACAGAUCCGUUUUGGGCCCAUAACCAUAUUUUGGAAAGUGCGGGACGAUUCGAAAUAAGGUUCACCCUGAAGAAUAGGCACUUACAUAUACGGAACAAUGGGAUUGUCAUUGUUUCCAAAAAUUGGCAUAACUUUCGUAUACGGUGUCCAUUUUUGGCCCAUAACUACAUUUUCGAAAGCUCGCGAUGAUUCGGAAUGAGAUUCGCAUAGAAGAAUAGGCACUUGCGUACACGAAAAGAUUAGAUUGUCAGUGUUUGAAAAAAUUGGCAUAACUUUUGCAUACGGAAUCCGUUUUGGGCCCAUAACCACAUUUCGAAAAGCUCGGGACAAUUCGAAAUGAGGUUUGUGUGGAAGAACAAGCACUUGUGUACACAGAAUGAUUGGAUUGUCAGUGUUCGAAAAAAUUGGCAUAACUUUCACAUAUGGUGUUCGUUUUCGGCCCAUAACCCAUUUCGAAAAGCUCGCGAUGAUUCGAAACGAGGUUCACAUGGAAGAAUAGGCACUAGCGUACAAGGAAAUAUUGGAUUGUUAGUGUUUGAAAAAUUUGGCAUAACUUUUGCAUACGGAGUCCAUUUUAGGCCCAUAACCACAUUUUGGAAAGCUCGCGAUGAUUCGGAAUGAGGUUUGCAUGGAAGACCAAGCACUUGUAUACACGAAACGAUUGGAUUGUCAGUGUUGUUUGAAACAAUUGGCAUAACUUUCACAUACGUGUCUGUUUUGGUCCCAUAAUCGCAUUUCGAAAAGCUCACGAUGAUUUAGAACGAGGUUCACUUGGAAGAACAGGUACUUAUGUGGACGGAAUGAUUGGAUUUUAUCAGUGUUGAAAAAAUUGGCAUAGCUUUCACAUACGCUGUUCGUUUUAGGCCAUAACCACAUUUUGGAAAGCUCACGACGAUUCAGAACGAGGUUCACGUGGAAGAACUGGCACGUGCAUACAUAGAAUGCAAGGAUUAUCAGUUUUAAAAAAAAUUGGCAUAACUUUCACAUAUAGUGUCGGUUUUAGUCCCACAACCACAUUUCAAAAAGGUCACGAUGAUUAGAACAAGGUUCGCGUGGAAGAACCGUCACUUGCGUACACCGGAUGCCUCGAUUGUCAGUGUUUGGAAAAAUUGGCGUAACUUUGGCAUACGGAGUCCGUUUUGGGCCCAUAAUCACAUUUCGAAAAGUUCGCUAUAAUUCAGAACGAGGUUUACGUGGAAGAAUAGGCACUUGCAUACACUGAAUGAUUGGAUUGUCAGUGUUCAAAAAAUUGGUAUAACUUUUGGAUACAGUGUCGAUUUUGGGCCCAUAAACAUAUUUCGAAGGGCUCACAAUGAUUAGGAACGCGGUUCACAUGGAAGAACAGAAACUUGCAUGCAUGGAACAAUUGGAUUGUCAUUGUUAGAAAAGAACCGGCACUUACAUACACGGAAUGCUUGGAUUGUCAAUUUUCAAAAAAAAUUGGCAUAACUUCCACAUACUGUAUCCGUUUUGGGCCCAUAACCACAUUUUAGAAAGCUCGCGGUGAUUUGGAAUGAGGUUCGCAAUGAAGAACAAGCACUUGCAUACACUAAACGAUUAGAUUGUCAGUGUUUGACAAAAUUAGCAUAACUUUCGCAUACGAUAUCCAUUUUGGGCCCAUAACCACAUUUCGAAAAGCUCGCGAUGAUUCGAAAUGAGGUUAGCAUGGAAGAACAGGCACUUACGUACACGGAAUGCUUGGAUUGUCAGUUUUAAAAAAAAUUGGCAUAACUUUCUCAUACGUUGUUCGUUUUUAGCCCACAACCACAUUUCGAAAAGCUCGCGACGAUUCAGAUCGAGGUUUAAGUGGACAAACAGUCACUUGCAUACACGGAAUGCCUGGAUUGUCAAUUUUCCAAAAAAAUUGGCAUAGCUUUCAUAUACGAUAUCCAUUUUUGGCCCAUAACCAUAGUUCAAAAAGCUCACGACGACUCAAAAUGAGGAUCGCGUGGAAAAACAAGCAUUUGCGUACAAGGAACGCUUAGAUUGUCAGUUUUCGAAAAAAUUUGCAUAACUUCGCAUACGGUGUUCAUUUUGGGUCCAUAAACACAUUUCAAAAAGGUCGUGAUGAGUAAGAACGAGGUUCUCAUGGAAAAACCAGCACUUGCAUACACGGAAUGCUUGGUUUAAAAGUUUUCAAAAAAAUUGGCAUAACUUUCGCAUACGGUGUUCAUUUUAGGGCAAUAACCACAUUUAAAAAAGCUUGCGACGAUUCGGAAUGAGUUUAGUGUGGAAGAACAGGCACUUAUGUACACUAAUCGCUUGGAUUGUCUGUUUUCAAAAAAAUUGGCAUAUCUUUCGCAUACUAUAAUACCCCAAACUUCCUGUUAUAUAUUUGGCCAAUAUGAUUCAUGCUAUUCACAAUGUUAGUUGCAUUAGUUUUCUUAAUUACUUUAUCUUAAAAUGGUGCAUUCGAUUAUGGAUAUUUUAAGAUUUUAGUCUUCGACUCCUAGACCUAGGUGUUGAAUUUUGUAUUGAGCUAUGAUAGAAAAUUAGGUUAACUAAAUGUUGGAGAUUGGCUUGAUAAGAAAUGGAAUAUCGAAAAGGUCGGAAAUCGGAAUCGACAAAAGUUCAAGCUUUCUACUUGGUUGAUCGAGACCACCUUAAAUCCUAGAUAGGUAAUUGACAUAUUUGGGACAUGAUACAUAAAGGAACAUGAUCAUGAUGCGAUAAUAUAUGUCUCAUAUGACAUUAUAAAUAUCGAGGUGCGAUUUGAUGAAAUCAAUCGAGAAUGGGGUGUCAAUCGGGUAAGUAAUUAAAUGAAUGAUUGAGGAAUUAGCUCUAUAAAAUAUUUUGGGAUCUUAGGGCAAGUGAAAUGGAUUGUAAACACAUUAACAUAAGCCCAGGAUACUUGAUUUAUACCUGCAAAGAUAGAUAUAAAAUCAGAUUUUUUUUACUAGUGACCACCUCAUGCUUUUAAUAUUUAUCAUUUUAACACCCAAUUCCUUUAACCUUAAGGCAUCAACCUCCUGUCCUACUCCUUAAGCACUUAUUAUAGGAUGAAUAUAUAUCUUAUAAUCAUAAAUGGAUCCAAAUAUAAUGGUUGAAAAUCAAGUAUGGCCACAAUGAAGACACGUCGUGCUUGGCACCUCAUGCUUGGGAUAGUUGUCAUUUUAAUACUCAAUCCCUUCAUCCUUAAGAUAUAUAACACCUCUCCUACCUCUUUUUAUUUAAUAUAGAUAGAUAUAUAUAUCUUAUGAAUCAAUAUAAGUUAAAUAGUCCAAGAGAAAAGUCAAAUAUAGUAGGAAAAGACCACCUCAUGCUAAACACUUGGCUGCACCCCACAUUUUCUUAAUCCUUAAGGAAGAGUCACGUCUCCAGCGUCUUGAAGACUUUAUAUACACCUCCUAACAACAUAUUUAGUCUUACAAAUUAUCCCCAAUUGACCACCGAUUGAAAGAGAAAGCAAAAAGGAAAAGAGAGAAGCAGAAACAAGGAGCUGAAAUUGAAUUUCUGGAUAGGUGAGUUUAGCUCACGGUUUUGAAGUUUUUCUUUAGUUCUUUUGCUUGUUUUAUAAUAUGUUUAAACUAUAAACUUACUUGAGGCUAAGUAUAAGGGUUGUUUAUGAUUUUAUGAUGGCAAAAGAGAGGGAUAAUUGAGUACAAGAACCUGAAAGAAACCAACAGGAAUAGAGCUGUGUUGAUUGAUGAAUUUGGAUGGUUUAAACUUUGAUUUUGGAUAAUACUGAAGAUAUAACUUGUGUCUAUGUAAAUUAAUGGGAUUUAUAAGGAUAUAAAUGGUCUUAUAAUAGCCUGGAAUCUGUUUGAUGACAUGCUAAUAAAAUGGAAACUGAAAGCUGUCACAAUGAAAACUGCCCGAUUUUGAUGUCGUGGAAGUGGACUAUUUUGAUGCUGAGAACACUUGAUUUGUCACGAAUUUAGAGCGUUAUUGUCUUCACAUACAUGUUAUAGAAACGUGGUAAAAAUUUGGGAGUCAUUGGAUAUGGAUAAGGGGGGUGAAAACGGAUUGGAAAAGUAGUUGGACAGUGAUGAAACCUGAAAAACAGGUUCUGUCCAUUUAUGUGUUUAAUAUGAUUUCAACCUUUACAUGUAAAUUAAUUAUCUCUUGGGCCUAGGAAAUAGAUUCUAAGGAGUAUUAGGUUGUUGACAACAAUUUGAUGACGUUGAUGUUGCUAAUUGGACUCGAGGAAAAAUGAGACUUGUGGGACGAGAUUGUAAUGCCGUUAGUAACUUCAAUAAGGAAUUCGUUUAAAUUAUUUUGAUGUGAAUAGAGGUAUUUCGGGAUUUUGCGUGUGUUAAGGCUAUUAAAUGGAGGAUUUUCUUUAAUAUUAAAUGGUAAUACAGGUGAUUUUCCGACGUUGAGUGAAAAAGGAAAGUGAUAUAAUCUCCGUAGGAGCUUGUGCACACACAAGGGCAAAAAGGUAAGUAAAAAAUCCAUUUGCAACUACGAUGCAAGAACCUAGCAUUUGUGGUAUAGUGAUGAUAGGAUAUUUUCAUACUUUGAUAAGAAAGCUCGUUGUACCCUAUAUGAUGAUUAUGAUCAUUGAGUAUGCGGUUGCAAAAUACAUUGACAUCAACUUCCAUUAAGCAUGUCAUUCAUGAGCAUUUUCGUUGGCAUGCACAACAUAUGAUCAUGGUUGAAAACUUUGCAUGCGAAACAUGAUUUCAAAGUAAGUUUUCUUUAUAAAUGUUUUAUUGACCACUACUAGGGCACCGAGGCAUGCUUAUGUGAUACGUUUGGCAGUGCGGAACUUCCUAGGUGAUUGCAAAGGUAGACAGGGGAUGGGCCUUUGGUGAUCACGGGAGGGUGGACCGCUUGACUAUGCCCUUGUUAUGAUUAUUGGCGCUGCCGGGUGGGAGACUUCUUGGGUGAUCAUAGGGGUACUUAGGGGAUGGACCUCUAGCAGUCAUGAGAGGAUGGUCCACUCAUCGGUGUCGAUUUCAUAUUGGCCACUUGAUUAUUGAUAUUGAUAGUAUGCAGAGCUCUAUCCGGCGCAUAGUUAGUGGGUCAAGGGCCCAAUGAAAUGAAAGAUUUCAAAUGAAAUAAUUUCGAGUCGACUUUGAUGAAUAUUGGAAUAUGAUGCAUCUUUAGCAUGAUGUUUAAAGUAAAUGACAUGGUGUCACAUAUCCUUGUUACUCAUACUCAUGAUAUACAUGAUUCUUGCUUACUAAGCAUUGGCUUAUGUAGUUCUUGCAUUUUAGGUGAGCAUGGAACUAUGUAGAGGGCACGGCUAGCUGUGGAGCUCUUACGGGAUUCCAAAGAUCAAUGUACAUGGAUGACGACCUGUAGGGUUAUUUUGUGGGCUAUUGUUUUGAGCUUACACUGUAAUACUACGAAAAUUUAAAUUCCUUUAAGAUGGCGAUUUAACUUUCAAUGCUAUUUUUGGCCAUAAGAAAAGGGGACACCACCUUUGUAGUGGUUAAUGUUAGAGGUAGCUAAUGACUACAAGCAUGAGGUGUUAAAUGUUGUGUAUACAUGAAGUGAUUAUUAGUUAGUAGAAACUUAAGUCAAGUUUGAAAUUGAAUGUGGUCGAUUAUUUUGUUAGGACUUCAAUUGACCAAAUGAUUAAAUUAAUUUACGAUCUACAAUUUUUGGAUAUGUAAGUUGGAUAUAAGUUUAGAUUUGGG
This 42863-nucleotide long non-coding RNA is filed under the name Olea europaea (common olive). RNAcentral's name for it is "long non-coding RNA (OEUR_LNC000770)". The record is from RNAcentral. Lineage: Eukaryota; Viridiplantae; Streptophyta; Magnoliopsida; Lamiales; Oleaceae.